GAAACCCCGGUAGUCCUAGCCGUACACGAUGGAUGCUAGGUCUGGGGGGUGUAGAUUCCCUCCGUGCCGCAGUUAACGCGUUAAGCAUCCCGCCUGGGGAGUACGGCCGCAAGGCUAAGACUCAAACGAAUUGACGGGGGCCCGCACAAGCAGCGGAGCGUGUGGUUUAAUUCGAUGCUACACGAAGAACCUUACCUGGGCUUGACAUACAGGUAGUAGUGAAGUGAAAGCGGAUCGAUCCUUCGGGGAGCCUGUACAGGUGCUGCAUGGCUGUCGUCAGCUCGUGCCGUGAGGUGUCGGGUUAAGUCCCGUAACGAGCGCAACCCUUGCUCUUAGUUAUACGUGUCUAAGAGGACUGCCGGCGGUAAGCCGGAGGAAGGUGGGGAUAACGUCAAGUCAGCAUGGCCUUUAUGUCCAGGGCUACACACACGCUACAAUGGCCGGUACAAUGGGUAGCUAAACCGCGAGGUGGAGCCAAUCCUGUAAAGCCGGUCUCAGUUCGAAUUGCAGGCUGCAACUCGCCUGCAUGAAGUCGGAGUUGCUAGUAAUCGCAGGUCAGCAAUACUGCGCUGAAUACGUUCCCGGGCCUUGUACACACCGCCCGUCACGUCAUGGAAGCUGGCAACACCUGAAGCCGGUGAGCUAACCCGAAAGGGGGGCAACUGUCGAAGGUG
This 674-nucleotide ribosomal RNA is filed under the name uncultured organism. RNAcentral describes it as "bacterial SSU rRNA". It matches the Rfam family "Bacterial small subunit ribosomal RNA", at positions 781 to 1464 of the family's 1533-position model. The record is from RNAcentral.